Long non-coding RNA from Helicoverpa armigera (cotton bollworm), 824 nucleotides. RefSeq lists it as uncharacterized. The record is from RefSeq and is a predicted model, not a curated record. The transcript has 3 exons. NCBI's taxonomy places the organism in Eukaryota, Metazoa, Arthropoda, Insecta, Lepidoptera, Noctuidae.
CAGCGGGCCUAGCAUGACCGCCAUAGAAACAGCUUUUGUCUACCGAAGAAUCGACAAAAUGACAGAUUGAAGAAAGAUUUCUAUCGAUCCGAGCAUGGCGAUGUUUGACAUCGAGAAAAGAAAUGUUUCUUUUCUUCGUCGACAUGUGUCUAUCGCGGCGAGCAUGACGACUAUAUUUUCUCUACUUUUGACAUUUGGGAGUAGAUAUAACUUUCUAUAUGAAAUGUCAAAUACUCUACAUCUCAUCGGACCUAGACAAGAGUAGACAAGAAUAUUAUUAUAAUUUUAAGAUCUCAAAAAGCAUUUACAAAGUAUGUCGGGGUCCUACCGUCGUCAUGUGGUCAGUUUUUAUGCUGAGAAGAAUCAGUGUAAAGCUCAAAGAACGAGCUAUACGAGUGUUAAGCCUCUCGACAUUGAAAACGUAAAUGUGCAGAGAUGGUGCAGUAUUUGUGCGGAAUCUGUCUCCUAGGAUAUUUUAGGGUCUGCCUGUUCAUAUCAAUGUUCUUUGUUCGGGUCCUGCUUAGGUCAUUAACAACAUUACUAACCACUGUUAGCAAAUUUUUUAAGCAAUUUGUUUUUGCAGUGAAUACAAGGGUGCCUAUGCUACAACUCUUCCCGAAGAAAGGCAGAGAGAGAGACACACUAAUGACCUUAGCGGUAGCUUACUACAAGCUGCAACUCACAGAAGAGCAACUAUUAUGAAUAUCUUUGUAUAUCAACAGUUCUUCAAACCAUACAGACAGAAUUGAGUUGCUGGAGAGUUUGGUCCACCGCUUCUGCUGCUGAUUUUCAGCCUAUUUUGAAUAAAUGACUUUAUCUGUAGC